AUUGCAGAAUCCCGCGAACCAUCGAGUCUUUGAACGCAAGUUGCGCCCGAGGCCACUCGGCCGAGGGCACGCCUGCCUGGGCGUCACGCCAAAACACGCUCCCAACCACCCUCUUCGGGAAUUGGGAUGCGGCAUAUGGUCCCUCGUCCUGCAAGGGGCGGUGGGCCGAAGAUCGGGCUGCCGGCGUACCGCGUCGGACACAGCGCAUGGUGGGCGUCCUUGCUUUAUCAAUGCAGUGCAUCCGACGCGUAGACGGCAUCAUGGCCUCGAAACGACCCAUCGAACGAAGUGCACGUCGCUUCGACCGCGACCCCAGGUCAGGCGGGACUACCCGCUGAGUUUAAGCAUAUAAAUAAGCGGAGGAGAAGAAACUUACAAGGAUUCCCCUAGUAACGGCGAGCGAACCGGGAACAGCCCAGCUUGAGAAUCGGGCGGCUGUGCCGUCCGAAUU
This 451-nucleotide ribosomal RNA is filed under the name Hordeum vulgare. Its description in RNAcentral is "eukaryotic LSU rRNA". The stretch from base 308 to 451 matches the Rfam family "Eukaryotic large subunit ribosomal RNA", at positions 1 to 144 of the family's 3401-position model. Lineage: Eukaryota; Viridiplantae; Streptophyta; Magnoliopsida; Poales; Poaceae. The record is from RNAcentral.